CGCGUAGGUGGUAGUGCAAGUCUGAGGUGGAAUCCCAGGGCUUAACCCUGGAACUGCCUUGGAAACUGCACUACUUGAGUCAGUGAGGGGAGGGUAGAAUUCCUGGUGUAGCGAUGAAAUGCGUAGAUAUCAGGAGGAAGGCCGGUGGCGAAGGCGGCCCUCUGGCGCUGAACUGACACUGAGGCGCGAAAGCGUGGGUAGCAAACAGGAUUAGAUACCCUGGUAGUCCACGCCCUAAACGGUGGGUACUAGGUGUAGGGCUCGUAAGGGUUCUGUGCCGAAGCGAAAGCAUUAAGUACCCCGCCUGGGGAGUACGGCCGCAAGGUUGAA
This 330-nucleotide ribosomal RNA is filed under the name uncultured bacterium. RNAcentral's name for it is "bacterial SSU rRNA". It matches the Rfam family "Bacterial small subunit ribosomal RNA", at positions 568 to 898 of the family's 1533-position model. The record is from RNAcentral.